RNAcentral lists this ribosomal RNA (259 nucleotides) under uncultured prokaryote. Its description in RNAcentral is "partial 16S ribosomal RNA". It matches the Rfam family "Bacterial small subunit ribosomal RNA", at positions 524 to 782 of the family's 1533-position model. The record is from RNAcentral.
UACGUAGGUGGCAAGCGUUGUCCGGAUUUAUUGGGCGUAAAGCGAGCGCAGGCGGUUCCUUAAGUCUGAUGUGAAAGCCCACGGCUCAACCGUGGAAGGUCAUUGGAAACUGGGAACUUGAGUGCAGAAGAGGAGAGUGGAAUUCCAAUGUGUAGCGGUGAAAUGCGUAGAUAUAUGGAGGAACACCAGUGGCGAAGGCGACUCUCUGGUCUGUAACUGACGCUGAGGCUCGAAAGCGUGGGGAGCAAACAGGAUUAGA